ACUGCGGAUGGAUCAU
RNAcentral lists this ribosomal RNA (16 nucleotides) under Polititapes aureus. RNAcentral's name for it is "partial 18S ribosomal RNA". Lineage: Eukaryota; Metazoa; Mollusca; Bivalvia; Venerida; Veneridae. The record is from RNAcentral.